This 497-nucleotide ribosomal RNA is filed under the name uncultured bacterium. RNAcentral describes it as "partial 16S ribosomal RNA". It matches the Rfam family "Bacterial small subunit ribosomal RNA", at positions 28 to 507 of the family's 1533-position model. The record is from RNAcentral.
GACGAACGCUGGCGGCGUGCCUAAUACAUGCAAGUUGAGCGCUGAAGGUUGGUUCUUGUCCCAACUGGAUGAGCAGCGCACGGGUGAGUAACGCGUGGGGAAUCUGCCUUUGAGCGGGGGACAACAUUUGGAAACGAAUGCUAAUACCGCAUAAAAACUUUAAACACAAGUUUUAAGUUUGAAAGAUGCAAUUGCAUCACUCAAAGAUGAUCCCGCGUUGUAUUGGCUAGUUGGUGAGGUAAAGGCUCACCAAGGCGAUGAUACAUAGCCGACCUGAGAGGGUGAUCGGCCACAUUGAGACUGAGACACGGCCCAAACUCCUACGGGAGGCAGCAGUAGGGAAUCUUCGGCAAGGGACGAAAGUCUGACCGAGCAACGCCGCGUGAGUGAAGAAGGUUUUCGGAUCGUAAAACUCGGUUGGUAGAGAAGAACGUUGGUGAGAGUGGAAAGCUCAUCAAGUGACGGUAACUACCCAGAAAGGGACGGCUAACUACGUG